AGUGAACGCUGGCGGUAGGCCUAACACAUGCAAGUCGAACGGCAGCACAGUAAGAGCUUGCUCUUACGGGUGGCGAGUGGCGGACGGGUGAGGAAUACAUCGGAAUCUACUUUUUCGUGGGGGAUAACGUAGGGAAACUUACGCUAAUACCGCAUACGACCUACGGGUGAAAGCAGGGGAUCUUCGGACCUUGCGCGAUUGAAUGAGCCGAUGUCGGAUUAGCUAGUUGGCGGGGUAAAGGCCCACCAAGGCGACGAUCCGUAGCUGGUCUGAGAGGAUGGUCGGCCGCACUGGAAGUGAGACACGGUCCAGGCUCCUACGGGAGGCAGCAGUGGGGAAUAUUGGACAAUGGGGGCAAGCCUGAUCCAGCCAUCCCGCGUGGGUGAAGAAGGCCUUCGGGUUGUAAAGCCCUUUUGUUGGGAAAGAAAAGCAGCAGGUUAAUACCCCGCUGUUCUGACGGUACCCAAAGAAUAAGCACCGGCUAACUUCGUG
Molecule: ribosomal RNA, 492 nt
Filed under: uncultured bacterium
Lineage: Bacteria
Description: partial 16S ribosomal RNA
Rfam family: Bacterial small subunit ribosomal RNA
Source: RNAcentral